Molecule: ribosomal RNA, 446 nt
Filed under: uncultured bacterium
Lineage: Bacteria
Description: bacterial SSU rRNA
Rfam family: Bacterial small subunit ribosomal RNA
Source: RNAcentral
UCCAGACUCCUACGGGAGGCAGCAGUGGGGAAUAUUGCACAAUGGGGGAAACCCUGAUGCAGCGACGCCGCGUGAGUGAAGAAGUAUUUCGGUAUGUAAAGCUCUAUCAGCAGGGAAGAAAAUGACGGUACCUGACCAAGAAGCCCCGGCUAACUACGUGCCAGCAGCCGCGGUAAUACGUAGGGGGCAAGCGUUAUCCGGAUUUACUGGGUGUAAAGGGAGCGUAGACGGCUGAGCAAGUCAGAAGUGAAAGCCCGGGGCUCAACCCCGGGACUGCUUUUGAAACUGCGGAGCUGGAGUGCAGGAGAGGUAAGCGGAAUUCCUGGUGUAGCGGUGAAAUGCGUAGAUAUCAGGAGGAACACCAGUGGCGAAGGCGGCUUACUGGACUGUAACUGACGUUGAGGCUCGAAAGCGUGGGGAGCAAACAGGAUUAGAUACCCCAGUAA